RNAcentral lists this long non-coding RNA (341 nucleotides) under Manihot esculenta (cassava). RNAcentral's name for it is "long non-coding RNA (MESC_LNC002330)". Lineage: Eukaryota; Viridiplantae; Streptophyta; Magnoliopsida; Malpighiales; Euphorbiaceae. The record is from RNAcentral.
GAGUUUUGUGCCAUAUCCUCCUUACAUGCCUUCUAUGCCUUAUCCGUACUAUCCACCAUAUCCUAUGUAUCCCUCUUCCCCUAUCCAUCCAAGUGCAGCACACCUAGAGCCAAAUGAACCAGUACUACCACCAGAACCAGUAGCCCCUGUUAUUGACAGACAUGAACCUAGCUCAUCUGGAGGUAAAGUCCAAAUGACGGAAUACUUGAAAUUGGAUGCUCCUAAAUACAACACGGGAGAUGAUCCAUUUGAUUACCUCAGAGCAGUUAGGAUGAUAACCAGUGAAUUGGGAGCAGAUGAUAGGAGAGCCAUUGAGAUGGCAGGUUUCACAUUAAAANNNN